This 72-nucleotide transfer RNA is filed under the name Ovis aries (sheep). It matches the Rfam family "tRNA". From Rfam's summary of the family: Transfer RNA (tRNA) molecules are approximately 80 nucleotides in length. Lineage: Eukaryota; Metazoa; Chordata; Mammalia; Artiodactyla; Bovidae. The record is from Rfam by way of RNAcentral.
UCCCCGGUGGCUCAGAUGGUAAAGCAUCUGCCUACAAUGCAGGAGACCCAGGUUCGAUCCCUAGGUUGGGAA